GUCAUUAGAGGACCUCCGGAUCAAGGUAGGG
RNAcentral lists this ribosomal RNA (31 nucleotides) under fungal sp. 2.20.4L. RNAcentral's name for it is "partial 28S ribosomal RNA". The record is from RNAcentral. Lineage: Eukaryota; Fungi.